This 115-nucleotide ribosomal RNA is filed under the name Butis amboinensis. RNAcentral describes it as "partial 16S rRNA". The record is from RNAcentral. Lineage: Eukaryota; Metazoa; Chordata; Actinopteri; Gobiiformes; Eleotridae.
AAUCCCAAUAGCUAGCCCAACCCACCCAAAACAACAACCAACAUUAAUAAGCCCAAAGACCCAAAUAGUAAACGAAACAAAUCAUUUUUCCCCCUAAGUAUGGGAGACAGAAAAG